UACGUAGGGUGCGAGCGUUGUCCGGAAUUAUUGGGCGUAAAGAGCUCGUAGGCGGUGUGUCGCGUCGGUCGUGAAAACUUGGGGCUUAACCCUGAGCUUGCGGUCGAUACGGGCAUUACUGGAGUUCGGCAGGGGAGACUGGAAUUCCUGGUGUAGCGGUGAAAUGCGCAGAUAUCAGGAGGAACACCGGUGGCGAAGGCGGGUCUCUGGGCCGAUACUGACGCUGAGGAGCGAAAGCGUGGGGAGCGAACAGG
RNAcentral lists this ribosomal RNA (254 nucleotides) under uncultured bacterium. RNAcentral's name for it is "partial 16S ribosomal RNA". It matches the Rfam family "Bacterial small subunit ribosomal RNA", at positions 524 to 776 of the family's 1533-position model. The record is from RNAcentral.